This 1358-nucleotide ribosomal RNA is filed under the name metagenome. RNAcentral describes it as "bacterial LSU rRNA". It matches the Rfam family "Bacterial large subunit ribosomal RNA", at positions 1581 to 2925 of the family's 2925-position model. The record is from RNAcentral.
GGGCCCGAUAUCCGGUGAUCCCGGCUGCCGAGAAAAGCUUCGGCGUCAGGCUCAAAGCCGCCCGUACCCCAAACCGACACUGGUGGUCAGGUAGAGAAUACCAAAGCGAUCGAGCGAAUCCUGGUCAAGGAACUCGGCAAAUCACUCCCGUUCCUUCGGUUUAAGGGAGACCCCCGAUGGUGAACACACUUGCUGUGGGAGCUUUUGGGGGUGGCACAGACCAGGGGGUAGCGACUGUUUACCAAAAACACAGGUGCAUGCGAAGGCGCAAGCCGCUGUAUAUGCACUGACGCCUGCCCGGUGCCGGAAGGUUAAGAGGAUCCGUCAGCCUUCGGGUGAAGCGGUGGAUUCAAGCCCCGGUAAACGGCGGUGGUAACGAUAACCAUCCUAAGGUAGCGAAAUUCCUUGUCGGGUAAGUUCCGACCUGCACGAAUGGCGUAACGACUUCCCCACUGUCUCGACCAGGAGCUCGGCGAAAUUGCAGUACGAGUAAAGAUGCUCGUUAAGCGCAGAAGGACGAAAAGACCCCGGGACCUUUACUAUACCUUGGUAUUGGCAUUCGGUGUGGAUUGUGUAGCAUAGGCGGGAGGCCGAGAGGCGCGGUCGCCAGAUCGCGCGGAGCCGUAAGGUGAAAUACCGCUCUGUUCGCAUUGGAUGUCUAACCUCGAACAGUCAUCCUGUUCAGGGACAGUGCCUGGCGGGUAGUUUAACUGGGGCGGUUGCCUCCCAAAGAGUAACGGAGGCGCCCAAAGGUCCGCUCAGCCCGGUUGGCAAUCGGGUGGCGAGUGCAAGUGCACAAGCGGGCUUGACUGCGAGGACGACGGUCCGAGCAGGGACGAAAGUCGGGACUAGUGAUCCGGUGCCGGUGUACGGACGCGGCAUCGCUCAACGGAUAAAAGGUACCCCGGGGAUAACAGGCUGAUCAUUCCCAAGAGUCCAUAUCGACGGGAUGGUUUGGCACCUCGAUGUCGGCUCGUCGCAUCCUGGGGCUGGAGCAGGUCCCAAGGGUUCGGCUGUUCGCCGAUUAAAGCGGCACGCGAGCUGGGUUCAGAACGUCGUGAGACAGUUUGGUCUCUAUCCUCUGCGCUCGUUGGAAUGCUGAGGAGGCCUGCCCAUAGUACGAGAGGACCUGGGUGGACGAACCUCUGGUAUGCCGGUUGUCACGCCAGUGGCACGGCCGGUUGGCUACGUUCGGAAGGGAUAACCGCUGAAAGCAUCUAAGCGGGAAGCCUGCUCCAAGAUAAGCAUUCCGUGGAACCUUCGAGUUCCUGUAGUCCCCAUGCAGAACACGUGGUCGAUAGGCCGGACGUGGAAGCCCCGCGAGGGGUGGAGCCGACCGGUACUAACGGACGAAAGCC